CACGUAGGGUGCGAGCGUUGUCCGGAAUUAUUGGGCGUAAAGAGCUCGUAGGCGGUGUGUCGCGUCGGCCGUGAAAACCUGCAGCUUAACUGUGGGCGUGCGGUCGAUACGGGCAUCACUGGAGUUCGGCAGGGGAGACUGGAAUUCCUGGUGUAGCAGUGAAAUGCGUAGAUAUCAAGCGGAACACCAGUGGCGAAGGCGAGUCCCUGGACAACUCCUGACACUGAGGCACGAAAGCUAGGGGAGCAAACAGG
This 254-nucleotide ribosomal RNA is filed under the name uncultured bacterium. RNAcentral's name for it is "partial 16S ribosomal RNA". It matches the Rfam family "Bacterial small subunit ribosomal RNA", at positions 524 to 776 of the family's 1533-position model. The record is from RNAcentral.